RNAcentral lists this unclassified non-coding RNA (261 nucleotides) under Kendrickiella sp. Its description in RNAcentral is "partial contains 5.8S ribosomal RNA, internal transcribed spacer 2, and large subunit ribosomal RNA". The stretch from base 1 to 71 matches the Rfam family "5.8S ribosomal RNA", at positions 84 to 154 of the family's 154-position model. Lineage: Eukaryota; Fungi; Ascomycota. The record is from RNAcentral.
GUGAGUCAUCGAAUCUUUGAACGCACAUUGCGCCCUCUGGUAUUCCGGAGGGCAUGCCUGUUCGAGCGUCAUUACACCCUCAAGCCUCGCUUGGUGUUGGGAGCUGCCUGCGCACUCCUCAAAAACAGUGGUGACGGCUGAUCAACUCACGCGUAGUACUACUUCACGACGAUGAGAUCAGUCUCCCCCAGAAAGCCUCUUGUUUGACCUCGGAUCAGGUAGGGAUACCCGCUGAACUUAAGCAUAUCAAUAAGCGGAGGA